RNAcentral lists this ribosomal RNA (408 nucleotides) under uncultured bacterium. RNAcentral's name for it is "partial 16S ribosomal RNA". It matches the Rfam family "Bacterial small subunit ribosomal RNA", at positions 28 to 526 of the family's 1533-position model. The record is from RNAcentral.
GACGAACGCUGGCGGCGUGCUUAACACAUGCAAGUCGAACGAAGUGGCGAACGGGUGAGUAACGCGUAAUCAACCUGCCCUUCAGAGGGGGACAACAGUUGGAAACGACUUCUAAUACCGCAUACUGAAGUAGGGGAUUGCGUCUGAUUAGCUAGUUGGAGGGGGAACGGCCCACCAAGGCGAUGAUCAGUAGCCGGUCUGAGAGGAUUAACGGCCACAUUGGGACUGAGACACGUCCCAGACUCCUACGGGAGGCAGCAGUGGGGAAUCUUCCGCAAUGGACGAAAGUCUGACGGAGCAACGCCGCGUGAGUGAUGACGGCCUUCGGGUUGUAAAGCUCUGUUAAUCGGGACGCGGUACCGGAAUAGAAAGCCACGGCUAACUACGUGCCAGCCGCCGCGGUAAUUC